RNAcentral lists this transfer RNA (75 nucleotides) under Salmonella enterica. RNAcentral's name for it is "tRNA-Gly". It matches the Rfam family "tRNA". Rfam says of the family: Transfer RNA (tRNA) molecules are approximately 80 nucleotides in length. Lineage: Bacteria; Pseudomonadati; Pseudomonadota; Gammaproteobacteria; Enterobacterales; Enterobacteriaceae. The record is from RNAcentral.
GAGAUCAUCGUAUAAUGGCUAUUACCUCAGCCUUCCAAGCUGAUGAUGCGGGUUCGAUUCCCGCUGACCUCUCCA